This 145-nucleotide ribosomal RNA is filed under the name Oscillospiraceae bacterium. RNAcentral describes it as "partial 16S ribosomal RNA". It matches the Rfam family "Bacterial small subunit ribosomal RNA", at positions 1 to 128 of the family's 1533-position model. Lineage: Bacteria; Bacillati; Bacillota; Clostridia; Eubacteriales; Oscillospiraceae. The record is from RNAcentral.
UUUUUUGAGAGUUUGAUCCUGGCUCAGGACGAACGCUGGCGGCGUGCCUAACACAUGCAAGUCGAGCGGGAAAUCUUAGAUUGAAGCUUCGGCAGAUUUCUGAGAUGGAGAGCGGCGGACGGGUGAGUAACGCGUGAGUAACCUG